CCGGAGUACCGCUCCGGCCCUGAGCCUCCGCUACAUAUUCACCGGGCCCUUCAGCCACGCCGGCCCUUCACCUUGAGAACCCUGUAGAACUGGUUCACACAGAAAUCAGCCGCCUGGGCCGUGUCGGUGUUAAAGCCUGUUUCUUCUGAUCCCCAGCAGAACACAAGUGGACCAGUGGAUGAUUUUCUCUUGCCUCAGCAAGGGAUGCCACAGUCCCUGGAAUCUGUCAACCACUAGCCUCUGAGCUUUAAAAGCCAGCUGGAUGAAGGGAUGUAACGCGCACCUGGGAGGGACACUG
RNAcentral lists this long non-coding RNA (298 nucleotides) under Rattus norvegicus (Norway rat). Its description in RNAcentral is "long non-coding RNA NONRATT004204". Lineage: Eukaryota; Metazoa; Chordata; Mammalia; Rodentia; Muridae. The record is from RNAcentral.